GGGGAAUAUUGCACAAUGGGGGAAACCCUGAUGCAGCAACGCCGCGUGAAGGAUGAAGGUUUUCGGAUUGUAAACUUCUUUAGUCAGGGACGAAUAAAUGACGGUACCUGAAGAAUAAGCCACGGCUAACUACGUGCCAGCAGCCGCGGUAAUACGUAGGUGGCAAGCGUUGUCCGGAUUUACUGGGUGUAAAGGGCGCGUAGGCGGGAUAGCAAGUCAGAUGUGAAAUGCCAGGGCUUAACCCUGGAGCUGCAUUUGAAACUGCUGUUCUUGAGUAUCGGAGAGGCAGGCGGAAUUCCUAGUGUAGCGGUGAAAUGCGUAGAUAUUAGGAGGAACACCAGUGGCGAAGGCGGCCUGCUGGACGACAACUGACGCUGAUGCGCGAAAGCGUGGGGAGCAAACA
This 403-nucleotide ribosomal RNA is filed under the name uncultured Oscillospiraceae bacterium. RNAcentral's name for it is "bacterial SSU rRNA". It matches the Rfam family "Bacterial small subunit ribosomal RNA", at positions 356 to 774 of the family's 1533-position model. The record is from RNAcentral. Lineage: Bacteria; Bacillati; Bacillota; Clostridia; Eubacteriales; Oscillospiraceae.